GUGCCAGCAGCCGCGGUAAUUCCAGCUCCAAUAGCGUAUAUUAAAGUUGUUGUGGUUAAAAAGCUCGUAGUUGAACCUUGGGCCUGGCUGGCCGGUCCGCCUCACCGCGUGCACUGGUCCGGCCGGGCCUUUCCCUCUGUGGAACCCCAUACCCUUCACUGGGCGUGGCGGGGAAACAGGACAUUUACUUUGAAAAAAUUAGAGUGCUCCAGGCAGGCCUAUGCUCGAAUACAUUAGCAUGGAAUAAUAAAAUAGGACGCGCGGUUCUAUUUUGUUGGUUUAUAGGACCGCCGUAAUGAUUAAUAGGGACAGUCGGGGGCAUCAGUAUUCAACUGUCAGAGGUGAAAUUCUUGGAUCAGUUGAAGACUAACAACUGCGAAAGCAUUUGCCAAGGAUGUUUUCAUUAAUCAGGAACGAAAGUUAGGGGAUCGAAGACGAUCAGAUACCGUCGUAGUCUUAACCAUAAACUAUGCCGACUAGGGAUCGGACGGUGUUAUUCAUGACCCGUUCGGCACCUUACGAGAAAUCAAAGUGCUUGGGCUCCAGGGGGAGUAUGGUCGCAAGGCUGGAACUUAAAGAAAUUGACGGAAGGGCACCACCAGGGGUGGAGCCUGCGGCUUAAUUUGACUCAACACGGGGAAACUCACCAGGUCCAGACACAAUAAGGAUUGACAGAUUGAGAGCUCUUUUCUUGAUUUUGUGGGUGGUGAUGCAUGGCCGUUCUUAGUUGGUGGGGUGACUUGUCUGCUUAAUUGCGAUAACGAACGAGACCUUAACCUGCUAAAUAGCCCGCAUUGCUCCGGCAGUGCGCUGGCUUCUUAGAGGGACUUUCGGCUCAAGCCGAAGAGUUUGAGCAUUAACAGUCUGUGAUGCCCUUAGAUGUUCUGGCCGCACGCGCGCUUACACUGACGGGGUCAGCGAAGUCC
RNAcentral lists this ribosomal RNA (926 nucleotides) under uncultured fungus. RNAcentral describes it as "SSU rRNA". It matches the Rfam family "Eukaryotic small subunit ribosomal RNA", at positions 564 to 1523 of the family's 1831-position model. Lineage: Eukaryota; Fungi. The record is from RNAcentral.